AAGUCGUAACAAGGUUUCCGUAGGUGAACCUGCGGAAGGAUCAUUAACAAUAUUAUCCUAAUAUAUUGGAUUCUACCCUUAUGUGAUAAAUAUUGGCUUAAUUAUUGGGGUUUAAAAAUGAUUCUGUAAUGGAAUCGACCCUAAAUAUACAAUAAACUCGCUUUUAAACUAUGACUGACAUAUAAUUUUUAUAAUUAUCUAAAUGAUAAUCAAUUAAAAACUUUCAACAACGGAUCUCUUGGUUCUC
RNAcentral lists this unclassified non-coding RNA (247 nucleotides) under fungal sp. RNAcentral describes it as "partial internal transcribed spacer region". The stretch from base 1 to 46 matches the Rfam family "Eukaryotic small subunit ribosomal RNA", at positions 1786 to 1831 of the family's 1831-position model. Lineage: Eukaryota; Fungi. The record is from RNAcentral.